Long non-coding RNA from Drosophila subpulchrella, 460 nucleotides. RefSeq lists it as uncharacterized. NCBI's taxonomy places the organism in Eukaryota, Metazoa, Arthropoda, Insecta, Diptera, Drosophilidae. The transcript is spliced from 2 exons. The record is from RefSeq and is a predicted model, not a curated record.
UAUAUUAAUAUAAAUUCGUAUUAAUUUGAUAUGUUUUUCAUAUCAAACGUAACAUCGAAAAGUCUUCGAAAAAAAAUAUGACUGUGCUUUCGUAUUUUUUGUGUAUUAAUGGUAUUUAGUAUGGUACUAAAGAUAUUUUUUGACAGAAUUUCCGCGGUCUCUCUAAUAUUUGACGAAAAGUGAAAAUGUACAAAGUAAAACAUUUACAUAUGUUAUUUAUUUUUUUUGCAAAUGACUGCACUACUCAAAGUCAAAUGGCUGGCCAAGAUGCCGAACUGGGCAAGUUGGCGUCCACCACUUCGCUGGGAAACUUCUAUCGAGGACAGAAGAAGGUCUUCCUGGCGCUGCUGCAAAGCUACAGGAGGCAUCCGAGUACAGCGUUAUCGGUCAUUUAUUGCUAAGUCCUGGAUUUAUUUUUAUAAUUGAUCCGAAAUAUAUAAAAAAUAAAUAUUUACAGCGA